Thalassophryne amazonica is the source of this 139-nucleotide long non-coding RNA. RefSeq lists it as uncharacterized. The record is from RefSeq and is a predicted model, not a curated record. NCBI's taxonomy places the organism in Eukaryota, Metazoa, Chordata, Actinopteri, Batrachoidiformes, Batrachoididae. The transcript is spliced from 2 exons.
GACUAUAGAAAUAAUAUCAUUAGCUAUAAUCUUUAUUGACUUGUUAAAACAUAAAGGUGCACAUACAACAUGUACAGGUACUAUUAAUUAAUGGAACUGAUUUCAUAUUUCGGUGAUGUUUUAAGUCCUGAUUUCUUAA